UAUAAACUAUAUCAAAUUUAAAAAAUAAAUUUAUUAUUUAAAUAAAAAAAUUUAAAUAAUUUUUAAAGACGAGAAGACCCUAAAGAAUUUUAAUAAUAAAUUAUAAUAUAAAUUUAAAAUUUAUUAUAUUAAUUGGGGAAAUUUUAAAAUUUAAAAAAUUUUUAAUUAAAUAAACAUAAAUUUUUGAAUAUUUAAAAUUUUUUUAAAAAAUGAAAUUAAAUUACCUUAGGGAUAACAGCAUAAUUUUUUUAAAAAGUUCAAAUUUAUAAAAAAGUUUAUGACCUCGAUGUUGAAUUAAGAUUAAAUUUAAUAGAAAAUUAUU
This 322-nucleotide ribosomal RNA is filed under the name Cotesia sp. HH-2016. RNAcentral's name for it is "partial 16S ribosomal RNA". Lineage: Eukaryota; Metazoa; Arthropoda; Insecta; Hymenoptera; Braconidae. The record is from RNAcentral.